CCCUGCUCAACCUCAUCAGCCAGACUUUGACAUCAGCGUGACUGGCUCCAUGAAUCUCCACAACCUCAUCUCCUAGCUGAAGAAGUGGAUCAAGAUCCUGGAGGCCAAGGCCAAGCAGCUGCCCAAGUUCUUCCUGAUCGAGGAGAAGUGUCGCUUCCUCAGUAACUUCUCCGCCCAGACCGCUGAGGUGGAGAUCCCUGGUUCAUGCCCAGAGUGGAGAUUGUCCAGAAACACAACUCAGCAACACUGCGUCUCUACAUCAGAGGUCUCAACUGGAACAUCUAUGCCUGACUGACUGAUUUCCGCAGGGAGGAGAGGGUCCUACAGCUCCUGAGACUGCUCAACCCUUGUCUGGAGAAGAGGAAGGAGACCACCAAGAGACACCUCUUUUUCACUUCUAUGACACACACUGGUCUAGAUCUCUUUCUCUGUCUCUCUCUAGCCCUCCUCGCUCUCCUCUGUCUAGUCUCUAUAGUUCACCAAAAGACAGCUCUUCCUCAGUGGGACAACACACUGGGCUACUGCUUUACGUCUGUCUGACUGUGUCUCCUUGUCCCCUUCCCUCGGUCUUCGACUCUCCUCUUUCAUAUCGCUCUCUCCAUCUGUGUCUGGGCUAUCUGUUUUCCUCUUGUCAAGUCAGUGCUUUCACAGGCAGUUUAAAAUUCCCUCUCCCUUUAUAUCUGCGGCUCUCAACCCA
Molecule: long non-coding RNA, 697 nt
Filed under: Salmo salar (Atlantic salmon)
Lineage: Eukaryota; Metazoa; Chordata; Actinopteri; Salmoniformes; Salmonidae
Description: lncRNA (ENSSSAG00000091975.1, ENSSSAG00020049832.1)
Source: RNAcentral